UAAUAAGUGCUCACUCUCUAUCAGCUUCUAUCAUCGGACAACAUAAAGAAAAGACUUGAGGAAUUUCUCAUUGGCCAACAAUAUUUUGUGUUAAAAGGCCAAAACAAGGCCAGCUCUGAUCAUUCAGGAGAAGCAAAAGAUCCAACGAAAGAAGACACAGCCAAAACAAAAAAGGAAUUGCAGUUUCAAGAAGAAUGGCACAUCAUAUUGAGACUACCCAAAUGGAUCAUCAAAUUCCACUUCUUGAUCAAACUUAUGUAAAUGAGGUCUCUCUCUCUAUCUCUCUCACAUCCUACGCUAUACAUCUUUAAUUCAAAAAUAAUUGAAGUCAUAUAUGGUGUCCGUCACUUUAUGCUAUCCUUUAAAAGAUACUCCUUCGGUCCACA
Molecule: non-coding RNA, 386 nt
Organism: Nicotiana tabacum (common tobacco)
Lineage: Eukaryota; Viridiplantae; Streptophyta; Magnoliopsida; Solanales; Solanaceae
Source: RefSeq, a predicted model, not a curated record